GAUGAACGCUGGCGGCGUGCCUAAUACAUGCAAGUCGAGCGAACGGACGAGAAGCUUGCUUCUCUGAUGUUAGCGGCGGACGGGUGAGUAACACGUGGAUAACCUACCUAUAAGACUGGGAUAACUUCGGGAAACCGGAGCUAAUACCGGAUAAUAUUUUGAACCGCAUGGUUCAAAAGUGAAAGACGGUCUUGCUGUCACUUAUAGAUGGAUCCGCGCUGCAUUAGCUAGUUGGUAAGGUAACGGCUUACCAAGGCAACGAUGCAUAGCCGACCUGAGAGGGUGAUCGGCCACACUGGAACUGAGACACGGCCCAGAGUCCUACGGGAGGCAGCAGUGGGGAAUCUUCGGAAAUGGGGGAAAGCUGGAAGGAGAAACGCGGGGUGGGUGAAGAAGGGCUUCGGACGGGAAAACUUUGUUAUUGGGGAAAAACAAUGGUGUAAGUAACUGUGAACAUCUGAAGGGUACCUAACAAGAAAGCCACGGGUAAUUAGGG
RNAcentral lists this ribosomal RNA (496 nucleotides) under uncultured bacterium. Its description in RNAcentral is "partial 16S ribosomal RNA". It matches the Rfam family "Bacterial small subunit ribosomal RNA", at positions 28 to 506 of the family's 1533-position model. The record is from RNAcentral.